GACAAAUUUUUCAAAAGAUUGCCAUUAUCUUGUGACUGUACAUGGAUAUAACAGUCUGCUACUUGCACACUCGGUUUCAACUGAAAUCCGUGUGAUAGAGCGUAUGUCAACCCUUUUCUUCGUUGCUCUUCCGUUGUAUGAUUAUGUUUAUGUUGGCGAUAAAACAACUUUUGUGGCAUUUGUUUCUUCACUGGGCCAAGAUACAAGUUUUUUAUGGGAAUUUGACAAUGAAACCAGAUACUUUAAUAAUUCCCAUGAAAAAAUCAAAUAUUCUAUACUAACCUCACUCAUUAAGUCUGAUAUCACUGAUACAUCUUUUAAAAAUGAAUCUGAGUUUUUUCUCUUCUCACAAACCCAUGUUUUUCAUGACAGUGGCUCAUACCUCAUAAAUAU
Limulus polyphemus (Atlantic horseshoe crab) is the source of this 393-nucleotide long non-coding RNA. RefSeq lists it as uncharacterized. The record is from RefSeq and is a predicted model, not a curated record. The transcript has 3 exons. NCBI's taxonomy places the organism in Eukaryota, Metazoa, Arthropoda, Merostomata, Xiphosura, Limulidae.